RNAcentral lists this ribosomal RNA (428 nucleotides) under uncultured bacterium. RNAcentral's name for it is "bacterial SSU rRNA". It matches the Rfam family "Bacterial small subunit ribosomal RNA", at positions 355 to 775 of the family's 1533-position model. The record is from RNAcentral.
CGGGGAAUAUUGGACAAUGGGCGAAAGCCUGAUCCAGCGACGCCGCGUGUCGGAAGGAGUCCUUCGGGAUGUAAACGACUUUUGGUGGAGACGAAUAAGCAGCUCAGGGAAUGGGGCUGUGAUGACGGUAUCCAUGGAAUAAGCCCCGGCUAACUACGUGCCAGCAGCCGCGGUAAGACGUAGGGGGCAAGCGUUACCCGGAAUUACUGGGCGUAAAGGGAGCGUGGGCGGGAGGUCAAGUCCGGUGUGAAAGACCCUGGCUCAACCAGGGAUGAGGGCUGGAAACUGACAAUCUUGAGUACAGCAGAGGAAGAGGGAAUUACCGGUGUAGGGGUGAAAUCCGCAGAGACCGGUAAGAAGGCCAGUGGCGAAGGCGCUUUUCUGGGCUGUUACUGACGCUGAGGCUCGAAAGCCAGGGGAGCAAACCG